Oreochromis aureus is the source of this 935-nucleotide long non-coding RNA. The record is from Ensembl. Lineage: Eukaryota; Metazoa; Chordata; Actinopteri; Cichliformes; Cichlidae.
GUCAUUCUAUAAAUGCUGUCCGUUUAAAUGGUCUUACCUGUAACACUGCUGUAUCCACCGGAUUCCAGCCAGAGUGGAUUCUGGAGUCUUCCACGCUCCUGUUAGUGAUCCUCCAUCUGGAUGGAUGAUAACAACCUUCUGAACAAUCUAGCAGGGGCAGAGGGGACUGGAGAGAAUGGCACUCUUCAGUCUUCAGUAUCCAGAGGUGAGGUCAUCAUACAAGUGAAUACUGAAAAUCGGGAUGUUGAGCACCCAGCCCACCAAGAUCAAGUGAAGCUGCAAGAUCAAGAGAUGAUAGACAGAGACCCAUCGACCAAAGGAGAAGCCAUGAGGAAAGGUGAGAACAGGUGAGUUUACAGACAUGACGAUUCAGGUGCAAAUUCUGAUUCUUAACAUCUUUUUUCCCUACAGGCCUCCCAACUGGAAGCUGGAUGAGCAGCACAAAGCAGUCGUGGCUAUUGGUUGAGGCCAGGGGCAAGAUGAAGGCUGCAGUCAGAGUUCGGGGUGGGAUGGAGGCUGCAGUCAGGGCCGGGGCGAGAUAGAGGCUGCAAUCAUGGGUGGGGGCAACAUGGAGGCUGUGGCCAUGGGCGAGAAUCAGGCUGCAGUCGUGGGUGGGGGCGAGAUGGAGGUUGCAGUCACGGGUGGGGGCGAGAUUAAGGCUGCAGUUGCAGCCUCGAAUGUAAUCAGAGCUGUGAAGGAGGCUCUCGGUUUAAUCUGAACACAGACUAAAACUUAUCCAGACUGGUCCCAGCCCACCUGCAGAUUGAAGUUAAUAAGCCAACCUCCAGUGGGAGUAGUUCAGCCUCCAGCCAAACACCAGCUCUUCUUCUUCUUACUCACCCAUCACCGAUCGCUUCAACCAACACUGAAAAUAAAAUAAGAUUUAUUGUUGAAUUUUUUUCAGCCCCUCUCAAUAUUAUUAUGUUUACCAAGCC